RNAcentral lists this ribosomal RNA (1155 nucleotides) under Enterococcus casseliflavus. RNAcentral describes it as "bacterial SSU rRNA". It matches the Rfam family "Bacterial small subunit ribosomal RNA", at positions 1 to 1125 of the family's 1533-position model. Lineage: Bacteria; Bacillati; Bacillota; Bacilli; Lactobacillales; Enterococcaceae. The record is from RNAcentral.
AUCAUUAUGAGAGUUUGAUCCUGGCUCAGGACGAACGCUGGCGGCGUGCCUAAUACAUGCAAGUCGAACGCUUUUUCUUUCACCGGAGCUUGCUCCACCGAAAGAAAAAGAGUGGCGAACGGGUGAGUAACACGUGGGUAACCUGCCCAUCAGAAGGGGAUAACACUUGGAAACAGGUGCUAAUACCGUAUAACACUAUUUUCCGCAUGGAAGAAAGUUGAAAGGCGCUUUUGCGUCACUGAUGGAUGGACCCGCGGUGCAUUAGCUAGUUGGUGAGGUAACGGCUCACCAAGGCAACGAUGCAUAGCCGACCUGAGAGGGUGAUCGGCCACACUGGGACUGAGACACGGCCCAGACUCCUACGGGAGGCAGCAGUAGGGAAUCUUCGGCAAUGGACGAAAGUCUGACCGAGCAACGCCGCGUGAGUGAAGAAGGUUUUCGGAUCGUAAAACUCUGUUGUUAGAGAAGAACAAGGAUGAGAGUAAAAUGUUCAUCCCUUGACGGUAUCUAACCAGAAAGCCACGGCUAACUACGUGCCAGCAGCCGCGGUAAUACGUAGGUGGCAAGCGUUGUCCGGAUUUAUUGGGCGUAAAGCGAGCGCAGGCGGUUUCUUAAGUCUGAUGUGAAAGCCCCCGGCUCAACCGGGGAGGGUCAUUGGAAACUGGGAGACUUGAGUGCAGAAGAGGAGAGUGGAAUUCCAUGUGUAGCGGUGAAAUGCGUAGAUAUAUGGAGGAACACCAGUGGCGAAGGCGGCUCUCUGGUCUGUAACUGACGCUGAGGCUCGAAAGCGUGGGGAGCGAACAGGAUUAGAUACCCUGGUAGUCCACGCCGUAAACGAUGAGUGCUAAGUGUUGGAGGGUUUCCGCCCUUCAGUGCUGCAGCAAACGCAUUAAGCACUCCGCCUGGGGAGUACGACCGCAAGGUUGAAACUCAAAGGAAUUGACGGGGGCCCGCACAAGCGGUGGAGCAUGUGGUUUAAUUCGAAGCAACGCGAAGAACCUUACCAGGUCUUGACAUCCUUUGACCACUCUAGAGAUAGAGCUUCCCCUUCGGGGGCAAAGUGACAGGUGGUGCAUGGUUGUCGUCAGCUCGUGUCGUGAGAUGUUGGGUUAAGUCCCGCAACGAGCGCAACCCUUAUUGUUAGUUGCCAUCAUU